This 664-nucleotide long non-coding RNA is filed under the name Rattus norvegicus (Norway rat). Its description in RNAcentral is "long non-coding RNA NONRATT019865". Lineage: Eukaryota; Metazoa; Chordata; Mammalia; Rodentia; Muridae. The record is from RNAcentral.
UUUUCCCCCUCACUCCAGAUUCUGCCUGAUCAAUGCAGGAGUCCUGUAUCUCUACUUCAGCAACUACCUACAGAUCGACGAGGAAGAGUAUGGUGGUACAUGGGAGCUCACCAAAGAAGGGUUUAUGACGUCAUUUGCCUUGUUCAUGGUCAUUUGGAUCAUCUUUUACACUGCCAUCCACUAUGACUGAUGGCAUUUGCUCCCGUCCCUUCUGUCCAGUCCAAAGGACCCUUUUAUUACAGCACAGAUACAUGCUUAUUGGGGCACUCCUGCUGUGUGGAACCGAGAAGACCCAGUCUCCUGGACUUAGAAUCAGCGUGUUGGGCAUCAGUGUUUUCCUGCAAGGGUUGUGAAACUUUUUAAAGAACCAUCCACCUUUGGGGAAGCAUUUCUGAGUUUGUCCAUUGUCAACAAUCUGUCCUUGGAUACCAUCAUGUAACAGCUGUUUGCCAAGUGGAGCUGCUGUUGAAUCUGAUGCGCCUCUGGAUCCGGAUGAAACAUUGUCUUCCUUGGUUCUCCGUCAGGUGUACAGUUUUUAAACAUCACUGCAUCUCAAGUCUUCUGAAAACACCAUGUGCGUGGUCCAUGGUACAAUACAAGCAGCCAUCUACUAAGUUCCAUUGUAGGAUGUUUUCAGAUACUUGAAUAAACAAAUCUUUAACUG